This 67-nucleotide transfer RNA is filed under the name Stolotermes ruficeps. Its description in RNAcentral is "tRNA-Leu". Lineage: Eukaryota; Metazoa; Arthropoda; Insecta; Blattodea; Termopsidae. The record is from RNAcentral.
GCUAUUUUGGCAGACAAGUGCGGUAGAUUUAGAAUCUAUUUAUGCAAAUUUUAUUUUGUAAGUAGUG